AUGUCAUCAGCCAAGGAGACAAAUGAUAUGGAAGGUUCUGGAGCAUAAUGUUCUUUGAGAGGAUUGCUCAAAUAUUUGAUAGAAUUGUCUUUGGUCAUCUGUCUUUUUACACCUCUUGGUGUUACACUUAUCUGCCCAGACUUUAUGUUUUGGUUGGCAGUCAUCAUAUUUCUAAUCUGUAAUAUUCUCGUAUAAAUCACUCAGUACCUCUGUAAAAUUGUUUCAAUUGGGUGUGCUAUGCAACUUGGAAUUAAACUCAUCUGUCAAAGGAAAAUGCAGUUUCAAUCUGUGAAGAUAAUUCAUAGGUAAGAUUUAACAUCCCAGGACGGAAUCUGCACUUCUAUCAGAUAUAACUUUGAUCAUGAAUUAUAGAAAUUAUAAUUGAAAAAAAUUAUAAAAUUUAUGCUGUUAGAAAGUAUGUGUAUUCUACUUGAAGGUAUUUAAUUGGCAAGACUUCAACAAAUUAUAGUCAAUGUUUAAUCAAUUUAAGUGAAAGUCAAACAAGUCAAAAAUUAUACCCAUGUAGUAUAUGGAGAAUUUGAAAUGAAUAAUUCAUUUAUGUUGAAAUGCUCAUUUUUAUAAGAGCAUAGAGUUGAAAAAUAACAAAAAAUAUUUCGACGACAGGAGAAAAAUAUAUUAACUGAAAUUUAGCUACAACAAAUUCUCGAACUACAACAAAUUCUCGAACUGUUAAUUACAACAUGAUCCAAAAAUAAAAAACGAGCUAAUAACAAUUUUUUUUGAUAAUACAUAUUUAUAUGUCUUUCUGAUUCGUUUUUGACUAUUUUUUUUUAUAAUAUAUACUUAUAUGUCUUACAAAUCAGUAGACGAGUGUAAAUUGAACACGGGCCCGGGGAUGACAUAUGAAAACAAUAUAAACUCAUUUUUAUGAAAUUCUUAUACGAAGGAUUUAUUUGAGCCCAGAAGUGUUGAUUACUAGCAUUUCAAGUGAAAUCGUUCUGCCCCAUUUCUGUGAGUACCCUUUAUUCUUUGUUUGUUAAAUUGCCCAAAUUUCACUUUUUCUAUGUAGAAUUUGGUUUUUGAUUGGUAUAUAUAUGCUCUGUACGUCUGUUGUUUCCAAUUGAAUGUGAUGAAAUUGUAUGUCCAGUGAUGCAUUACUAGCUUUAAUUGUACUAUUUAUUAGCAUUUCAUAUGAAAUUGAUCUGCCCCGUUUGUGUGAUUGUUUUACCAAUAUGUUCCUUCUCUUAGAGUUGAGAUCUGCUUGUCUUUCGAUUCUUGAUGAUGCUACUUGUAGAAAUUUAAGUAUUUUACUACCCAUUUAAGUUCAGGCAUCUGCUUUUUCUUUAUGUUGGAUAUUCGAGAUCAGGUUCUCGCAUUGGUAUAAUUAUCUAAUAUCUGUGAAUUAUUGAUGGUUCCGAAAAAAAUGAUAAACUAUGAAUCUGUGUUAAAGGGGUGUGCAGGAGAGAGGGAGGCAGGAGCAGCCGUUUUUUUUUCUUUUUUCUUUUUUAGCUUUAUAAGAUAUUAUAUAGAAUUAGAAAAGAAUAUGAGAGAAAGGGGUAUUUUCGGGUCUAAAAGAUGAACAAGUCGUGUAUGUGGGUAAAGCUAACUUGAGCAUGAUAUUCGUACAAGCAAAUUGCUUAUCAAGAGUAGGCAAAAUGAUUCCAAUAGGUAUACACAUAAAGCAAAUUGUGAAUAAGGCACAAAUCCAAACAAUAUCUAAAACAAGAUUAAAAAGGAUAUUAAAAAAAGGUGAUAUAUGUUAAAGCCUCAAGGUGAACUUGAAAUCUUUGGUUGUAUUGGUUCAUUAGGUCAGAUCACGAUAAUGAGGGAUUGGUUGAAUAUACAAAAAAAUGUGUUUAAAAAGAUGUAUGUUAAAAGCAAAAAAGGAUCCUGCAUUAGUAUGUAAUAUGAGUUAGACCAGGUCAAACAUGAAAUGGGUUAAAAACGAUGGAUUUUUAUAAACUUGUUUAAAUAGUACUCCCUCCGUCCCCCUGAGUUGUAUACAUUGGGGGACGGGUACGCGGCACGGACUUUAAUGCUCCUGUUUUACAUAGUUCUAUAACUUAUUUUUAAGAAUUUUCUUUUCUGAAUAAAAGUUUGAAUGUUAUAUUUUUAUUCAGAAAAAGAAAAUUUUAAAAAUAAGUUAUAGAACUAUAUUUUACAAGAGCAUUGAAGUGCGUGUUGAGCAGUGAAAAAGAAACGUAUAGAAUUAAAUGGGACAGAGGGAGUACUGAACAAAAAUAAUAAUUGGAGAGCUAAAGAAAAAGAUGGCUUUGUAUAGAAGAGGAUUCUAAAUUGUUCAUAACUUUUUUCGGUAGUUUGUUCCAGAAAAGGAAAAAGAACUUUUUGGUAUGUAUUAACAUAUAUUUCAGUAUAUGAUAAAAUAUUUAUUUUUUAAUGAUAUACAGUUUGCAUGGUGUGUGCGAUGCUUGUAAAGAUCAACUGAGAAACAAUUAGUGAAAUAAUUAAACUCGAAUAAAUUAUUGUCUUUUAAAACAAAUAAAUAAAUCCAACUACUACUAGAACUAACUCCAGUUUCCAAUAAAAAUACUAAUGAAACUAAUAGUUGAGCGGGGCUAUAGGCUAUAGCCUCCAAUAGUCCCCAAGUGCAUUGUCUAAUAUAUGAUUUUCACAUGCAACCCCCAGUUUUUUCAAAUUUCAUUCUUAUAUCUUAUGUUUCCAGUGUUGAGUAUUAUUUUAUCCACACAGUACUCAUAAAUUCUCAUGCUAAGAAAUAAAGAAGAGUCAGUCUUAUGAUUAGUGUUUUAAGAAAAUUUAGCUUUUAUUCUUCAUAAGCAAAAAUUGAACUACUACUAACAGUAAUUCAGUUUCUAUCAGACUACAGAACAAGUAUUUGAAUUCAGAAAUUCCUGGAGCAAAGGUGAAUUGUGCUUUGCAGAUGCGAUAAAAAAGAUGGUUAGUUAUCACUACACACAAACUCUUCUUCUACCAUAUUGUCAGGAAGACUUUGCUUUAAUUAGUAAAUCUAAUAGAAUCUUGUAGACCUUUGCUUUCUGUUUUGUAUUUUCACACUAUAAUCUUUAAACUUUUUACUGAGUGUUGUUUGUUUUUGGUUUCUUAUCAUGUAGAAAUAAUUUUUUAUUCAGUCAACUUGUUAAAAUAACUGCUUGACCUGCACUUUUUGACUGUUCACUUGUUGCUACUCCAAAUAACUGUCUAAAAACUUUGAUGGCUCUCAUGAUUCAAAAUGGCAAGACCAACAGCACUGCUUUGACUAUACAUAUGGUUAUACUUUUAUAAACUGGCUUUCUUUCAGUAUAUCAGAAAGUUACUAGAAGCUCUCCAUAUUUGUACUUGAACUUGCCCCCCUUGGUCUUAAAAGCUAUGUCUGAAUCGUUAAUUUGGUUCUUAGUCCUGUAUUUGUUGUAUCCUAUAUAGCUGAAUCCUUCCCUUUUAUACAUUCUUUGUAGGAAAAAGAAGCAAAGAAGGAAGCUUUUAGGAAGUAUUUAGAGUCUAGUGGAGUUGUUGAUUCUUUGACAAAAGGUUUCAUCUUCUUAACUGUUCCCUUUUACUUGUAACUUAGUUAUAAUGUAGUAGGUCCCUCCUGUCUAGGUAAUCUUUUUGUUGUGCCUUAUAUCUCAUGGCAUUUUCAUUGAUUCUAUUACUAUAUUUUAUUUAUUAUUUUUAUAUAGUUUUUAUUUCUUUUUUUACUUGUAGUACUUGUGGCACUUUAUGAGCAGAAUGUAAAGCCUUCCUCGGCCAUUGAGUAAGCUUGCAUUUUUUUCUCAGCAUAACUUCUUCAUUUCAUUUUCGUUUUGUACAUUAACCUGGAAAACAAGGCCAUUUUCUGCAGCUCAUCAAAAUUGGCUAUGUUCAAUAGUCAGACAUAAAUAUGAAUUUGGGAUUCUUGCAAUUUUGAUAAUUUGUCUAUUAGAUUUACAUUUUUUGUGUUGUGUGGUUGUGACAGUAAACAAAUGUCUUGUGAUAUAAUGACCUUCAUCCUGGUUUUCCAGGUUCAUCCAGCAAAAAAUGGGUGGUCCAAGUUUAUCCGACUAUGAGAAGCUACAAGCUGAAAUGUCUGAUUUGAAAAUUAAGCAUAAAGAGCUUUUGGCAUCACAUGAAGAGAAGUGCAGGGAGGUAGGCCUUGAGUUCAUCAUUGUUUCAGGAAUAAGUUUGGAUUCAUUGUCUUCCAUGCUUGUUUAUCCAUCCCUUUGUUUCUAAUACAGCUAAUUGUUUUAGAAUAAUAAGCUCUGUUACAAAGUAUAAUGACAUGCCUAGUACCAAGAUGUCCAGAGGUCUUAUGAUGUAAACUUGUAAAAAUCAUGUGAGCUGCAACCAAAAGGUUGUCUUGUGGCCUUGUAUCAACAAUAAUCGUUUUCUGUAGUGUAUUUGAUGGUGUGAAUAAGCUGUUUAUUUAGCCACUCUCUGCCGAGUGACGUGAUUCAUCUGACAUUCUUUCUCUAUGGAUUGCAGCUUGAGGAAUUAAAAAGCUCUUUAACCAUGUCAUCAUCAGCCAAGGAGACAGAUGAUAUGGAGGUUCUGGAUCAUAACGUGCUUUGAAAGGAUUGCUCAAAUAUUUGAUAGAAUUGUCUUUGGUCAUCUGUCUUUUUACACCUCUUGGCCGUACAAUUAUCUGCACGGACUUUAAGUUUUGGUCGGCAGCCAUCAUAUUUCUAAUCUGUAAUAUUCUCGUAUAAAUCACUCAGUACCUCUGUAAAAUUGUUUCAAUUGGAUGUGCUAUGUGUAUUGUUCUUUAUAUGUCUUGCAAAUACACAAUGUUUGUG
RNAcentral lists this long non-coding RNA (4706 nucleotides) under Daucus carota (carrot). Its description in RNAcentral is "long non-coding RNA (DCAR_LNC006522)". Lineage: Eukaryota; Viridiplantae; Streptophyta; Magnoliopsida; Apiales; Apiaceae. The record is from RNAcentral.